GUCGUGAGAUGUUGGGUUAAGUCCCGCAACGAGCGCAACCCUUAUUCUAUGUUGCCAGCGGGUAAUGCCGGGGACUCGUAGGAGACUGCCGGGGUCAACUCGGAGGAAGGUGGGGACGACGUCAAGUCAUCAUGCCCCUUAUGUCCAGGGCUGCAAACACGCUACAAUGGCCGGUACAAAGGGCUGCAAACUCGUGAGGGUAAGCGAAUCCCAUAAAGCCGGUCUCAGUUCGGAUUGUAGGCUGCAACUCGCCUGCAUGAAGCUGGAGUUGCUAGUAAUCCCGGAUCAGCACGCCGGGGUGAAUACGUUCCCGGGCCUUGUACACACCGCCCGUCACACCACGAAAGUCGGCAACACCCGAAGCCGGUGGCCUAACCGCAAGGAAGGAGCCGUCGAAGGUGGGGUCGGUGAUUGGGGUGAAGUCGUAACAAGGUAGCCGUACCGGAAGGUGCGGCUGGAUCACCUCCUUUCUAAGGAGAUUCUCUCGAGCGAUGGUGGACAUUCGUGCCACCCGGUCGAGACAAAAUCCCAGUUGGUGCACUGGUGGGUUCUGUCGGAUGAUCACGAUGUCGUAGGGCUUGCCCUCCUUCGUGAACUGAUGACCGAACUUUAUCUUCUCUUCUGUUUUGAGGGAUUCGUUCCUCUACGCAUGGCAUGAGCUGUCGAGCCCCUCGGGGAUCCCGCUCCGCUGCCGCAGCGUGUCCGGUGAACGUGUGCAAGUUGGCGCGGUCCCGACGCUGUGCGUCGCCCUUUGAGAACUGCAGAGCAAGCACGAGCAUCUUUAUUUCUUCCAAGCUACAAAGAGCCAACGGUGGAUGCCUUGGCGCCAAGAACCGAUGAAGGACGUGAGUGACUGCGAAAAGCUGCGGGGAGCCGUCUACUAGGCAUUAAUCCGCAGAUGU
Molecule: small RNA, 902 nt
Filed under: uncultured Actinomycetes bacterium
Lineage: Bacteria; Bacillati; Actinomycetota; Actinomycetes
Description: bacterial SSU rRNA
Rfam family: Bacterial small subunit ribosomal RNA (bases 1-470)
Source: RNAcentral